AGAGUUUGAUCCUGGCUCAGGAUGAACGCUGGCGGCGUGCUUAACACAUGCAAGUCGAACGGGGAUUACACGGAGAUGCGAUUUCGGUCAAAUCAAGUGCAAUCUUAGUGGCGGACGGGUGAGUAACGCGUGGGUAACCUGCCUUGCACUGGGGGAUAACACUUAUAAAUAGGUGCUAAUACCGCAUAAGCGCACGGUCCUGCAUGGGACAGUGUGAAAAACUCCGGUGGUGCAAGAUGGACCCGCGUCUGAUUAGCUGGUUGGCGGGGUAAAGGCCCACCAAGGCGACGAUCAGUAGCCGGCCUGAGAGGGUGGACGGCCACAUUGGGACUGAGACACGGCCCAAACUCCUACGGGAGGCAGCAGUGGGGGAUAUUGGACAAUGGGGGGAACCCUGAUCCAGCGACGCCGCGUGAGUGAAGAAGUAUUUCGGUAUGUAAAGCUCUGUCAGCAGGGAAGAAAGCAAUGACGGUACCUGACCAAGAAGCCCCGGCUAACUACGUGCCAGCAGCCGCGGUAAUACGUAGGGGGCAAGCGUUAUCCGGAAUUACUGGGUGUAAAGGGAGCGUAGACGGCUGUGCAAGUCUGGAGUG
This 593-nucleotide ribosomal RNA is filed under the name uncultured bacterium. RNAcentral's name for it is "bacterial SSU rRNA". It matches the Rfam family "Bacterial small subunit ribosomal RNA", at positions 8 to 596 of the family's 1533-position model. The record is from RNAcentral.